Molecule: ribosomal RNA, 926 nt
Filed under: uncultured Streptococcus sp.
Lineage: Bacteria; Bacillati; Bacillota; Bacilli; Lactobacillales; Streptococcaceae
Description: bacterial SSU rRNA
Rfam family: Bacterial small subunit ribosomal RNA
Source: RNAcentral
AACGCUGAAGAUUGGUACUUGUACCGAUUGGAUGAGUUGCGAACGGGUGAGUAACGCGUAGGUAACCUGCCUGAUAGCGGGGGAUAACUAUUGGAAACGAUAGCUAAUACCGCAUAACAGAUGGUGUUGCAUGACAUUAUCUUAAAAGGGGCAAAUGCUCCACUAUCAGAUGGACCUGCGUUGUAUUAGCUAGUUGGUGGGGUAACGGCUCACCAAGGCGACGAUACAUAGCCGACCUGAGAGGGUGAUCGGCCACACUGGGACUGAGACACGGCCCAGACUCCUACGGGAGGCAGCAGUAGGGAAUCUUCGGCAAUGGGGGCAACCCUGACCGAGCAACGCCGCGUGAGUGAAGAAGGUUUUCGGAUCGUAAAGCUCUGUUGUAAGAGAAGAACGUGUGUGGGAGUGGAAAGUCCACACAAUGACGGUAUCUUACCAGAAAGGGACGGCUAACUACGUGCCAGCAGCCGCGGUAAUACGUAGGUCCCGAGCGUUAUCCGGAUUUAUUGGGCGUAAAGCGAGCGCAGGCGGUUAGAUAAGUCUGAAGUCAAAGGCUGUGGCUCAACCAUAGUUUGCUUUGGAAACUGUUUAACUUGAGUGCAAGAGGGGAGAGUGGAAUUCCAUGUGUAGCGGUGAAAUGCGUAGAUAUAUGGAGGAACACCUGUGGCGAAAGCGGCUCUCUGGCUUGUAACUGACGCUGAGGCUCGAAAGCGUGGGUAGCGAACAGGAUUAGAUACCCUGGUAGUCCACGCCGUAAACGAUGAGUGCUAGGUGUUAGGCCCUUUCCGGGGCUUAGUGCCGCAGCUAACGCAUUAAGCACUCCGCCUGGGGAGUACGACCGCAAGGUUGAAACUCAAAGGAAUUGACGGGGGCCCGCACAAGCGGUGGAGCAUGUGGUUUAAUUCGAAGCAACGCGAAGAACCUUA